UCGGGAAUAUUGCACAAUGGAGGAAACUCUGAUGCAGUGACGCCGCGUGCAGGAAGAAGGUUUUCGGAUUGUAAACUGCUUUAGACAGGGAAGAAAAAAGACAGUACCUGUAGAAUAAGCUCCGGCUAACUACGUGCCAGCAGCCGCGGUAAUACGUAGGGAGCAAGCGUUAUCCGGAUUUAUUGGGUGUAAAGGGUGCGUAGACGGGCAAACAAGUUAGUUGUGAAAUCCCUCGGCUUAACUGAGGAACUGCAACUAAAACUAUUUGUCUUGAGUGCGGGAGAGGAAAGUGGAAUUCCUAGUGUAGCGGUGAAAUGCGUAGAUAUUAGGAGGAACACCAGUGGCGAAGGCGACUUUCUGGACCGUAACUGACGUUGAGGCACGAAAGUGUGGGGAGCAA
Molecule: ribosomal RNA, 400 nt
Filed under: uncultured bacterium
Lineage: Bacteria
Description: bacterial SSU rRNA
Rfam family: Bacterial small subunit ribosomal RNA
Source: RNAcentral